AUUUGUCUGGUUAAUUCCGAUAACGAACGAGACCUUAACCUGCUAACUAGAUUCUUUUAUUCUUAUAAAAGUUAUCUUCUUAGAGGGACUAUGUAAAACAAAUAUAUGGAAGUUUGAGGCAAUAACAGGUCAGUGAUGCCCUUAUAUGUCCUGGGCUGCACGCGUGCUACACUGAUGCAUACAACAAGUGCCUAACCAGACAUGGCAUGGCAAUCUCGAAUAUGCAUCGUGAUAGGGAUAGAUCUUUGCAAUUACAGAUCUUGAACGAGGAAUUCCUAGUAAGUGCAAGUCAUCAUCUUGCAUUGAUUAUGUCCCUGCCCUUUGUACACACCGCCCGUCGCUCCUACCGAUACCGGGUGAUCCGGUGAACCUUUUGGACUCAUUGAGAAAGAUAAGUAAACCAUAUCACCUAGAGGAAGGAGAAGUCGUAACAAGGUUUCCGUAGGUGAACCUGCRGAAGGAUCA
Molecule: ribosomal RNA, 465 nt
Filed under: uncultured ciliate
Lineage: Eukaryota; Ciliophora
Description: SSU rRNA
Rfam family: Eukaryotic small subunit ribosomal RNA
Source: RNAcentral